ACGCUGGCGGCGUGCCUAAUACAUGCAAGUAGAACGCUGAAGGAGGAGCUUGCUUCUCUGGAUGAGUUGCGAACGGGUGAGUAACGCGUAGGUAACCUGCCUGGUAGCGGGGGAUAACUAUUGGAAACGAUAGCUAAUACCGCAUAACAGUAGAUGUUGCAUGACAUUUGCUUAAAAGGUGCAAUUGCAUCACUACCAGAUGGACCUGCGUUGUAUUAGCUAGUUGGUGGGGUAACGGCUCACCAAGGCGACGAUACAUAGCCGACCUGAGAGGGUGAUCGGCCACACUGGGACUGAGACACGGCCCAGACUCCUACGGGAGGCAGCAGUAGGGAAUCUUCGGCAAUGGACGGAAGUCUGACCGAGCAACGCCGCGUGAGUGAAGAAGGUUUUCGGAUCGUAAAGCUCUGUUGUAAGAGAAGAACGAGUGUGAGAGUGGAAAGUUCACACUGUGACGGUAUCUUACCAGAAAGGGACGGCUAACUACGUGCCAGCAGCCGCGGUAAUACGUAGGUCCCGAGCGUUGUCCGGAUUUAUUGGGCGUAAAGCGAGCGCAGGCGGUUAGAUAAGUCUGAAGUUAAAGGCUGUGGCUUAACCAUAGUACGCUUUGGAAACUGUUUAACUUGAGUGCAAGAGGGGAGAGUGGAAUUCCAUGUGUAGCGGUGAAAUGCGUAGAUAUAUGGAGGAACACCGGUGGCGAAAGCGGCUCUCUGGCUUGUAACUGACGCUGAGGCUCGAAAGCGUGGGGAGCAAACAGGAAUAGAUACCCUGGUAGUCCACGCCGUAAACGAUGAGUGCUAGGUGUUAGACCCUUUCCGGGGUUUAGUGCCGCAGCUAACGCAUUAAGCACUCCGCCUGGGGAGUACGACCGCAAGGUUGAAACUCAAAGGAAUUGACGGGGGGCCCCGCACAAGCGGU
This 918-nucleotide ribosomal RNA is filed under the name uncultured bacterium. RNAcentral's name for it is "bacterial SSU rRNA". It matches the Rfam family "Bacterial small subunit ribosomal RNA", at positions 33 to 933 of the family's 1533-position model. The record is from RNAcentral.